Small nuclear RNA from Cavia porcellus (domestic guinea pig), 107 nucleotides. The record is from Ensembl. Lineage: Eukaryota; Metazoa; Chordata; Mammalia; Rodentia; Caviidae.
GUGCUUGCUUUGGCAGCACACAUACUAAAAUUGGAACGAUACAGAAAAGAUUAGCAUGGCCCUUGUGCAAGGAUGACAUGCAAAUUCAUGAAGUGUUCCAUUAAAAA